AACUGUUGAUGGGAAAGAUUUAUCUAAAUAUGUUAAGAAACUCCAAGGUAGAUGCUAUUUUAUCCUUGCAGGACUUGAGGCGAGCCAUGGCGACAGGCUCUAGAAUGAGCCUAUUUGCCAAAUGGAAUUUCAACAUGAGUCUGUUCUGCCCAAAUAUCUUCUCUCCAUUAUGGGAACCUGGAGGAUAACAAAGCAGUUUCCAGACAACAAGGCCUGUAACACCGAUUUGUUUCCAGAAACUACUCUCUGGACAAAUGAAUGCUCAGGAGAUUUGCCAGUCUGGAAGAACACCAACACAGGUUAUCGAAAAGCUAGCACCAAGGUUGCCGGACUGUGAAGAAUCAGGAGAGUGUGAGAUUGGUGAAAGCUAUCAACGGAGAGAAACCUCUGUAGCAAGAAUAAUCCAUAGCAAGACCGGGGGAAGGUGGCGAAAAUGAAGGGGCAGUGCUUGGAUAGUCAUUGCCACCAGGGCUGAUCAAGACAUUUUGUGCCUCUUUUGGGCACAUGGAUGUCAGCUCUUCCACCAGGUCAAUCUUGUGUCACUCUUGCCAGCAGCAUGCCUCGGGGACAACUGAGCCAUCAGGAGGACAUUGUGUGGUGGUGCUGGGAGCAGCUGUGGAGUCCAAGGGUCACAACUGAGAGCUGUCGUUGAUGCUCCUUUACAGACCUUUGCCAGUCAUUUGAUGUUGCCUAACGUUAGGGCAGGUUCUGGUUGGCAUGAUCAUCAUUUUUGGAAAUGGCAUAAAAUCCAAUUUGGAUAUGAGAAGGUGAUAUAAAUCUCUCAGAAGGACUGCCUUUCCCCUUAUGAGCCACCAGGUUUUAAAGAAGGUUUUUAGACCCUAGUGUCUUCCAGGGAUGUUUUCUUAAAGAAAAUGAAACAGGGGCUUUUGGGUGGAUGCUCCUAAGGUUGUAGAUCUUCCUUCCAAGGGAACAGAAUGGUGAGGAAUACUUGAGUUUGCAUGGCAAUCUAUGUAUCUUUAGCAUCCGUUUCUGUCAUGAAGCAAAGCAAAUCACACAAAUGACAUAAUCUGCAGAAGAUGCAUAAUUUUGCUCGAAAUGUGCAAUCUGCAUUAAAAAGUUGAGUUUGUAGUACAAGAAAAAAAAUCUCAUUCUCCUAUGGAGUGAGGAGAACAUUUUUGGAAUCUCUUCUCCUUCUCUGUGAUUUCAAGGCAAAGACUGAAGUGAGGAGAACAUUUUUGGAAUCUCUUCUUCUCUGUGAUUUCAAGGCAAAGACUGGGCCUACGAGGCCAGUCCUCUUGUGGCUACAUAGCUGAUGCUUACAUGGCCAC
Molecule: long non-coding RNA, 1289 nt
Filed under: Pogona vitticeps (central bearded dragon)
Lineage: Eukaryota; Metazoa; Chordata; Lepidosauria; Squamata; Agamidae
Description: lncRNA (ENSPVIG00000006146.1)
Source: RNAcentral